RNAcentral lists this long non-coding RNA (308 nucleotides) under Capsella rubella. RNAcentral describes it as "long non-coding RNA (CRUB_LNC001220)". The record is from RNAcentral. Lineage: Eukaryota; Viridiplantae; Streptophyta; Magnoliopsida; Brassicales; Brassicaceae.
CGGUCCAACAUGGAUCACCCUUUUCUUUUUUCUCUUUUUUUUGGUCGGCUACUGAUUUUUUUUUUUUUUUUGAUACAGAGUGAGACCAAAAUAAUAUAAGAGAUCACUCUUUUUCAUAACAACAAGUAAGCUCUUUAUAUGUUGACGUGAUUUUUCAUUUUGGUAAAUUGUAAAAGCCGUAAAAUUUAGAAAUCAUAGGGGAAACCCACGAAGUUUAGGGACAUUUAGGGCAAAAACUAAAUAUUUGAAAAUGUAUGUGGAAGAAUCAUAAAUACAGAAUCAGAAAACAAUUAAGUUCUACUGUUUUG